UGGGGAAUAUUGGACAAUGGGCGCAAGCCUGAUCCAGCAAUGCCGCGUGGGUGAAGAAGGUCUUCGGAUUGUAAAGCCCUUUCGGCGGGGACGAUGAUGACGGUACCCGCAGAAGAAGCCCCGGCUAACUUCGUGCCAGCAGCCGCGGUAAUACGAAGGGGGCUAGCGUUGCUCGGAAUGACUGGGCGUAAAGGGCGCGUAGGCGGUUGGUACAGUCAGACGUGAAAUUCCUGGGCUUAACCUGGGGGCUGCGUUUGAUACGUGCUGGCUUGAGUGCGGAAGAGGGUCGUGGAAUUCCCAGUGUAGAGGUGAAAUUCGUAGAUAUUGGGAAGAACACCGGUGGCGAAGGCGGCGACCUGGUCCGUGACUGACGCUGAGGCGCGAAAGCGUGGGGAGCAAACAGGAUUAGAUACCCUGGUAGUCCACGCCGUAAACGAUGUGUGCUGGAUGUUGGGCGGCCUAGCCGUUCAGUGUCGUAGCUAACGCGAUAAGCACACCGCCUGGGGAGUACGGCCGCAAGGUU
RNAcentral lists this ribosomal RNA (523 nucleotides) under uncultured bacterium. Its description in RNAcentral is "bacterial SSU rRNA". It matches the Rfam family "Bacterial small subunit ribosomal RNA", at positions 355 to 895 of the family's 1533-position model. The record is from RNAcentral.